CAAACAAAAAGAAUCUAUCUCAGAUUGAAUAUGAAAAACCAUCGUCAGGUAAUGUGAUGGUUGUAUUGCUGCUGCUGCUGCUGCUGCUGCUGCUGCUGCUGCUGCUAUAUUUCCCUGAUCAGUUUUUGCUAUUAUAAUGUUGUACGGGGCAACAACAAUUCAAAUAGCAACUAUUAAUUUCUACUACUACAACAAAGAAAGAAAAUUUACAUGUAUGUAGUAGAGAAAAGAAUGUGGUGCGCAUUAUUAAUUU
RNAcentral lists this unclassified non-coding RNA (253 nucleotides) under Gongylonema pulchrum. Its description in RNAcentral is "ITS2". The record is from RNAcentral. Lineage: Eukaryota; Metazoa; Nematoda; Chromadorea; Rhabditida; Gongylonematidae.